Molecule: long non-coding RNA, 169 nt
Organism: Octopus sinensis (East Asian common octopus)
Lineage: Eukaryota; Metazoa; Mollusca; Cephalopoda; Octopoda; Octopodidae
Exons: 3
Source: RefSeq, a predicted model, not a curated record
GAGAAAAGGGACUUAGCUAGUGAAAGUUGUAGUGUGUGGGACGUUGUCUCACAGUUGCUGACAGUAAACUUCAUUUCUCCUCUGACCAAGGUUCUAGCUGGCCAGCCAGACUUCGUUCUCAUUGAGUCGUCAACGACGAAUUUUUGCUUGGGGUGUUCUUGCUUUUUAU